Molecule: ribosomal RNA, 253 nt
Filed under: uncultured bacterium
Lineage: Bacteria
Description: partial 16S ribosomal RNA
Rfam family: Bacterial small subunit ribosomal RNA
Source: RNAcentral
UACGGGGGGGGCAAGCGUUGUCCGGAUUUAUUGGGCGUAAAGAGCGUGUAGGCGGCCAGACAGGUCCGUUGUGAAAACUCGAGGCUCAACCUCGAGACGCCGAUGGAAACCGUUUGGCUAGAGUCCGGAAGAGGAGAGUGGAAUUCCUGGUGUAGCGGUGAAAUGCGCAGAUAUCAGGAAGAACACCCGUGGCUAAGGCGGCUCUCUAGUACGGUACUGACGCUGAGACGCGAAAGCGUGGGGAGCGAACAGG